AGUGAACGCUGGCGGUAGGCCUAACACAUGCAAGUCGAACGGCAGCACAGUAAGAGCUUGCUCUUACGGGUGGCGAGUGGCGGACGGGUGAGGAAUACAUCGGAAUCUACUUUUUCGUGGGGGAUAACGUAGGGAAACUUACGCUAAUACCGCAUACGACCUACGGGUGAAAGCAGGGGAUCUUCGGACCUUGCGCGAUUGAAUGAGCCGAUGUCGGAUUAGCUAGUUGGCGGGGUAAAGGCCCACCAAGGCGACGAUCCGUAGCUGGUCUGAGAGGAUGAUCAGCCACACUGGAGCUGAGACACGGUCCAGACUCCUACGGGAGGCAGCAGUGGGGAAUAUUGGACAAUGGGCGCAAGCCUGCUCCAGCCAUGCCGCGUGGGUGAAGAAGGCCUUCGGGUUGUAAAGCCCUUUUGUUGGGAAAGAAAAGCAGCAGGUUAAUACCCCGCUGUUCUGACGGUACCCAAAGAAUAAGCACCGGCUAACUUCGU
This 491-nucleotide ribosomal RNA is filed under the name uncultured bacterium. Its description in RNAcentral is "partial 16S ribosomal RNA". It matches the Rfam family "Bacterial small subunit ribosomal RNA", at positions 29 to 506 of the family's 1533-position model. The record is from RNAcentral.